UACGUAGGGACCGAGCGUUGUCCGGAAUCAUUGGGCGUAAAGAGCUCGUAGGCGGUUCAGUAAGUCGGGGGUGAAAGCCUGUGGCUCAACCACAGAAUUGCCUUCGAUACUGUCGAGCUUGAGACCGGAAGAGGUAAGUGGAACUGCGAGUGUAGAGGUGAAAUUCGUAGAUAUUCGCAAGAACACCAGUGGCGAAGGCGGCUUACUGGUCCGGUUCUGACGCUGAGGCGCGAAAGCGUGGGGAGCAAACAGG
Molecule: ribosomal RNA, 253 nt
Filed under: uncultured bacterium
Lineage: Bacteria
Description: partial 16S ribosomal RNA
Rfam family: Bacterial small subunit ribosomal RNA
Source: RNAcentral